RNAcentral lists this long non-coding RNA (342 nucleotides) under Equus asinus (donkey). RNAcentral's name for it is "lncRNA (ENSEASG00005026700.1)". Lineage: Eukaryota; Metazoa; Chordata; Mammalia; Perissodactyla; Equidae. The record is from RNAcentral.
GAAUUAGUUAAUGGGGGUCAGCAUCCCGGGGACAGCAGACCUCUGGUGCUGCCGGGCGUCUCUUGGCAAAGCCUCUUAAGAGCUGUCUCAAAUAGAAUUGGAAACAAGUUGUAUUUCAGAGAAGAGGACGACGAAAGUGGUUGUUAGUGUUCUGGCAUGGCUUUAAUGUUUUCUGCAGAGAGGUAACGAGCAGGAUCGCAAGGCACAAAGUAAAGAAAAUGGAAAUUAAACCCUGUGAGACUGUCACCCGCCUCUGCUCUCCAACCUCCAGACUUUCCUCCACGAUUUUCACUUUGCUACUUGAUAUUUGUGUUUUGCAUCUCCUCCCCUUUUAAAAUAAAU